RNAcentral lists this small nucleolar RNA (138 nucleotides) under Ornithorhynchus anatinus (platypus). Lineage: Eukaryota; Metazoa; Chordata; Mammalia; Monotremata; Ornithorhynchidae. The record is from RNAcentral.
UCCCUCUCAGGGUCGCACCUGGAGAGUUUCCGGUCCUCUUCCAGUCUUGGCUAUGGUAGGGAGAGUCAAGCAGAGGCCUAUCCAUUCCAUUGCUAGCUUGGCCAGUGGCUAGCGAGUGGAAGGUAAUCUGCUGCAAGU